GAUGAACGCUGGCGGUCUGCUUAACACAUGCAAGUCGAACGGAAUCUUUCGGGAUUUAGUGGCGGACGGGUGAGUAACGCGUGAGAAUCUGCUUUCAGGUUCGGGACAACAGCUGGAAACGGCUGCUAAUACCGGAUGUGCCGAGAGGUGAAAGCUUAAGUGCCUGGAGAUGAGCUCGCGUCUGAUUAGCUAGUAGGAGUGGUAACGGCACCCCUAGGCGACGAUCAGUAGCUGGUCUGAGAGGAUGAUCAGCCACACUGGGACUGAGACACGGCCCAGACUCCUACGGGAGGCAGCAGUGGGGAAUUUUCCGCAAUGGGCGCAAGCCUGACGGAGCAAGACCGCGUGAGGGAAGAAGGUCUGUGGAUUGUAAACCUCUUUUGAUAGGGAAGAAGACAGUGACGGUACCUAUCGAAUCAGCCUCGGCUAACUCCGUGCCAGCAGCCGCGGUAAUACGGAGGAGGCAAGCGUUAUCCGGAAUUAUUGGGCGUAAAGAGUCCGUAGGUGGGUAACCAAGUCAGCUGUUAAAUAGUGAAGCUUAACUUCAUAGAGGCGGCUGAAACUGGUUGUCUAGAGUGUGGUAGGGGUAGAGGGAAUUUCCAGUGUAGCGGUGAAAUGCGUAGAUAUUGGAAAGAACACCGGUGGCGAAAGCGCUCUACUGGGCCUGCACUGACACUGAGGGACGAAAGCUAGGGGAGCGAAAGGGAUUAGAUACCCCUGUAGUCCUAGCCGUAAACGAUGGAUACUAGGCGUUGCCCG
This 759-nucleotide ribosomal RNA is filed under the name uncultured Antarctic cyanobacterium. Its description in RNAcentral is "bacterial SSU rRNA". It matches the Rfam family "Bacterial small subunit ribosomal RNA", at positions 28 to 829 of the family's 1533-position model. Lineage: Bacteria; Bacillati; Cyanobacteriota. The record is from RNAcentral.